CAAUGAGGAAUUAAAUAAAUCAAAAGUUGGAAUUACCGACUGAUUGUAUAGUGAUGAUUUGAUCGACUAUCUGAGG
Small nucleolar RNA from Erigeron canadensis, 76 nucleotides. NCBI's taxonomy places the organism in Eukaryota, Viridiplantae, Streptophyta, Magnoliopsida, Asterales, Asteraceae. The record is from RefSeq and is a predicted model, not a curated record.